CGAUGAGCUGAAAUAAUAAAGAUUGAUAUAAAAAAAUUUCUACCGUGGACAGGUUAUUUUUUUUAAAGCGAUCGUGGGCUUUGACGAUGUAGUGUUCAAAAUUUUCUCAAAGCUCGUCCGAACGAAGGUCGUUCGACGGGAUUUUUGACUAACUGUUGGAAAUUUUGGAUAAAUUUCACUUCGGUAAUUUCGGUGAUGAUCGGGUGGUGAAAUUUAAUCCUGCAACGGCGAUCGGGUGAAAGAUCGAACGGGUUUCGGGUAGCCGAUCGACCGACUCGUGCGCCGAUGACUGGGUUAAAAUUGGCGAAUAAAAAGCGCGUCGAUCCGUCGAUCAAAAACUCACCUUGAAUGCCAUGGUUGUCGUGUCUUGUGGAUGACUGAUACCGUCCAGAUCGGUGAGAAGCCUUUUAUACCAUUGUGCCGGGGGAAUUCUCACAGAGCGAGGCCGCGCCCCUUGCAAACAUUCACCCAAAACCGCGCGUCUUUCUCCUUCUCUUUUCCUUUUCUUCCUUCAGAUUUUUCCCCUCCAUCAUUCCUCCUCUUCUCCUCCACGGUCGUCCGUGGACCACGUGAAAUGACGUCGGGUAGUGCGGACGCAAUGCAAGUUAGUAUGGCGGUUCGUUGAUUGAUCAUUCGAAUAUUCGAUUGUCCCAAGUUCCCCACGAUCGUCAAACUCGAUCGAUUCUCAUUCAAAUUCGUACCCUCGGUAUAUCCAUGUAUGCGUUCCGUAAUUUGGGUCGAUUUAUAAAUCGACGCAAAAAUUAUUCAACGACGACCCAUUCGCCUCGUAAAUUUUGCCUAUCAAUCAGGCUGGCCGAUGAUCUUACGUAAAAAUUGUUGACAGUCGGCUCCAAACUGGUGUAGAGAAGAGCUGAUCGAGAGCAUCACGAGUUUGCUUUACGUAACUGUCGACUCUACGCUGUGAAGAAUUUUUUUUACUUCUUUCUCCCGUUUUUUGCACGCUGGAAAAUUAUACGUCCUACAAUCGAGUAAGAUGCUAUGGAAAAAAGAAGAAAUAAAAAUGUCAGUUCGGAGGGAAUGGAGAAAAAUCCAGAAUCGAGAUAAAAAGGUGAUUAUGCCUUGAUAAAAAAGUGGGAAACUUGAACCUGACGAAUUUGACUGACAAUCAUCGAAGCGUUCGCGAUUUUUAUCGCCUCAGGCAAAACCAGAUCGCCGUUUAUAUACCGAAAGCGAAACCUCCGUUAAAAAAAAAGCAGCCCGCAGGCAGCAGAUGGCUUCUAAGUAGUCGCAGUCGACGAGCAGACAGCCGGGCCGGCCCAUUCAUAGGCGAGACUACUCGCUGGUCAACCGAGUAAAGUUCCUCCAGACCACGCGUCGAUUCUGUCGGGAAAUUCUAGCACGUGGUGAGAAAAAUAAAGUGCGGAUCACACCCCUCUGGUUAUACCGACCAUUGUUCUGGCGAUAAACGAUUGAAACGUCAUCGCUGACAAUCAAUUACAUUGGAAAUAAAUAAUAAUCGAUUCGUCGACGAUAAUAACUAGGAUGUGGAGAUCACGGCAACAGAUAAAUAUACUGCAAUUAUCAAGGAACAUGCUAAUUCACGUUUCAGUUGUACAGCUCGGAUAUAAAUGACUAAAACUGCAAUCUAUGAGCGAAAAGGAAAGAAAAAAAGAUGGAAAAAUGAAGAGAAUUUUUAUAUCGAAUAUUCGCUAACUUCGGUGAUCGGUAAAUAAUUUUAUUUCGCAUUUUAAAAGGAUAAUUCGUAUUAACGGUUGAUCGUGCGUUACGUGGGAUGCUAUGUAUCGUACACGUAAUCUUAAUCUCGUUCGUUGAUUUAUGCGACGAGAAGCUGUCGCCAUGAUUGCGAAAUUAUGUCUCUCGAUUUAUAGUGGGUAUUGUAGAUGUACGUGUACGAGAGAUCGGUAGAAUUUUAUAUUGUUCGUAAACCGGUGUAUGUGGAUCGAGAAAGGUUCCCCGGGUACUCGUGUUUGAGCGCGUGUGCGUCACUCGGCACGUAUACGUUCGCGCGUGUUUUUAACGGCGUUAAAAGUGAGACGGCGAACGUCGAGUUGCAUAAUACACAACCGUAUUAUAAUUCGUGUGCGAAUAACAUUGAACCAGUGAAUUGCAGAAAGUGAUACGAUAAUUUAUGCCCCCGUUUCGAUCGACUGACAUUGAUCGCCGUCGCUUUUACUUGUUACAUCUUUCUCCGCGGAACGCAUCUGCGUCGUCCGAUUCCAAUUAAUAUUACGGCGCGUCCGCGACGCCGAAAAC
This is a long non-coding RNA of Athalia rosae (coleseed sawfly), 2235 nucleotides long. RefSeq lists it as uncharacterized. The transcript has 2 exons. The record is from RefSeq and is a predicted model, not a curated record. Lineage: Eukaryota; Metazoa; Arthropoda; Insecta; Hymenoptera; Athaliidae.